GACGAACGCUGGCGGCGUGCUUAACACAUGCAAGUCGAACGGGCCCGCCCCUGUUUUUGGGGGUGGGUUGAGUGGCGAACGGGUGAGUAUCACGUGAGUAACCUGCCCCCUGCUCCUGGAUAACUGCUUGAAAGGGCGGCUAAUACGGGGUGUGCCGGCUGGUCCGCAUGGGCCUGGUCGGGAUAGUUUCAUCUUCGGGUGUUUCGGUGGGGGAUGGGCUCGCGGCCUAUCAGCUUGUUGGUGGGGUGAUGGCCCACCAAGGCGGUGACGGGUAGCCGGCCUGAGAGGGUGGGCGGCCACACUGGGACUGAGACACGGCCCAGACUCCUGCGGGAGGCAGCAGUGGGGGGUAUUGCACAAUGGGCGGAAGCCUGAGGCAGCGACGGCGCGUGAGGGAUGGAGGCCGUCGGGUUGUGAACCUCUUUCUCCGGUGGUGAAGGCCCUGUCCGUUGCGGCGGGGUUGACGGUAGCCGGGGAUGAAGCGCCGGCUAACUACGUG
This 499-nucleotide ribosomal RNA is filed under the name uncultured bacterium. RNAcentral describes it as "partial 16S ribosomal RNA". It matches the Rfam family "Bacterial small subunit ribosomal RNA", at positions 28 to 507 of the family's 1533-position model. The record is from RNAcentral.